This 578-nucleotide long non-coding RNA is filed under the name Androctonus crassicauda. Lineage: Eukaryota; Metazoa; Arthropoda; Arachnida; Scorpiones; Buthidae. The record is from RNAcentral.
CCAUGGCUUUAUCCUUAGAGGCUUAUAACAGCAGUUUAAAGAUAGAAUGGGAUAAGGCAAGUAUAAUAAAGCCAAUAGGUAAGAAAUCCCAGAUGUUAAUGGCAGAAACAUUGGAAAUUUUGAAAAGAGAAGGGAAAGAAAAUCUGCUGAAUAACCGGCCAGCAGUAGAACUACCAACAGCAUGGGGCUACAUGUUAAAGACUUAGAAGAAUAGGCUAUUAAAAUAGUAAUGAAGCAUGAAAUGGUGCCUUUAACCAAUAGUGGAUCCAGGCACUAGAGCAUGUAUAUUUAUGUGCAAUAGAUUUCUAUCUUUAACAGCACAUGUUAAUUCUGUAUAUAUUUUUAUUACUCGGGAUCCCUUUAAUACCUUUGUACCUCUUCAUUUAUUUAUUUAUUUGUUAUUAUUUUAAUUUUAUUUUGUUUUAUUUUAUUUUGUUUAUGUAGAUAUGUAACCAUAGUAAUGAUCUGUUAGGAAUUAUAAAGCUAUUAACUAUUUGAAGUUCUUAUUUUAUGAAAGUUUGUAGCCUGAUGAUGGUACAGUAGUACCAAAACGUUAGCAACCAAUAAAGAGUUUUGGU